Molecule: transfer RNA, 73 nt
Filed under: Bacteroides sp.
Lineage: Bacteria; Pseudomonadati; Bacteroidota; Bacteroidia; Bacteroidales; Bacteroidaceae
Also listed under: 4 other names
Description: tRNA-Arg
Rfam family: tRNA
About the family: Transfer RNA (tRNA) molecules are approximately 80 nucleotides in length.
Source: RNAcentral
GUCCGUGUAGCUCAGUGGAUAGAGCACCGGCCUCCGGAGCCGGGUGUCGUGCGUUCGACUCGCAUCACGGACA